This 388-nucleotide ribosomal RNA is filed under the name uncultured bacterium. RNAcentral describes it as "bacterial SSU rRNA". It matches the Rfam family "Bacterial small subunit ribosomal RNA", at positions 29 to 416 of the family's 1533-position model. The record is from RNAcentral.
AUUGAACGCUGGCGGCAUGCCUUACACAUGCGAGUCGAACGGCAGCACGGGAGCAAUCCUGGUGGCGAGUGGCGAACGGGUGAGUAAUAUAUCGGAACGUGCCCAGUCGUGGGGAUAACGUAGCGAAAGCUACGCUAAUACCGCAUACGAUCUAUGGAUGAAAGCGGGGGAUCGCAAGAGCCUCGCGCGAUUGGAGCGGCCGAUAUCAGAUUAGGUAGUUGGUGAGGUAAAGGGCUCACCAAGCCGACGAUCUGUAGCUGGUCUGAGAGGACGACCAGCCACACUGGGACUGAGACACGGCCCAGACUCCUACGGAGGCAGCAGUGGGGAAUUUUGGGACAAUAGGGCGCAAGCCUGAUCCAGCAAUGCCGCGUGCAGGAUGAAGGCC